RNAcentral lists this long non-coding RNA (138 nucleotides) under Capra hircus (goat). RNAcentral describes it as "lncRNA (ENSCHIG00000004410.1)". The record is from RNAcentral. Lineage: Eukaryota; Metazoa; Chordata; Mammalia; Artiodactyla; Bovidae.
CAGGGACAAGGAAACCUCCAGCCCACAAGGCAAGCGGAAUCAGAGUGACUCAUGGUAUUGACUAGAGAGCCAAGGAGAUUUUGCAAAGAAGAUAUGGAGAUCCACAAACGCUUCAACUUUCUUAUUAAAAGAAUGUUU